CCGCGGCCCUGGCGCGCGUGACGCAGAAGCGUACGCUAGUACGUGACGUCGCAAGGACGUACGCUCUGGAGCUCACAAGGGAAGAUGGCGGCUGUACCUUUGGAGGAGAGCGACUGAAAAGGGAGGAGGAAGGAGGUCAGGCAGGGAAACACUGCCAACUGUGAAGACGAACGCUUCGCUCGACAUUAGGAGGUCUGCUCAACGCCAGCGGGGGAACACAGUUCAGCCCAUAAGAGCUACCACAAGGCCAAAUAACUUAAUGAUUUGAUCGGUUCCGUGAAGCUGGACUAUGGCAUAUGUGAAGCCUGGUUACUGUGGUGAGGUGGUUUGCUUUUAUUUAAUUUUGGACUUAAUCUGGAUUUGAAAUAUGUACAAUUAUACUUUUUUCUCUUUCUUCACACAAGUAAUUC
This 410-nucleotide long non-coding RNA is filed under the name Cavia porcellus (domestic guinea pig). RNAcentral's name for it is "lncRNA (ENSCPOG00000040585.1)". The record is from RNAcentral. Lineage: Eukaryota; Metazoa; Chordata; Mammalia; Rodentia; Caviidae.